RNAcentral lists this ribosomal RNA (345 nucleotides) under uncultured Flavobacterium sp. RNAcentral's name for it is "bacterial SSU rRNA". It matches the Rfam family "Bacterial small subunit ribosomal RNA", at positions 1 to 345 of the family's 1533-position model. The record is from RNAcentral. Lineage: Bacteria; Pseudomonadati; Bacteroidota; Flavobacteriia; Flavobacteriales; Flavobacteriaceae.
CAUGGAGUUUGAUCCUGGCUCAGGAUGAACGCUAGCGGCAGGCUUAACACAUGCAAGUCGAGGGGUAUAGUUCUUCGGAGCUAGAGACCGGCGCACGGGUGCGUAACGCGUAUGCAAUCUACCUUUUACAGAGGGAUAGCCCAGAGAAAUUUGGAUUAAUACCUCAUAGUAUGUGAGAAUCGCAUGGUUUUUCACAUUAAAGUUCCAACGGUAAAAGAUGAGCAUGCGUCCCAUUAGCUAGAUGGUAAGGUAACGGCUACCAUGGCGACGAGUGGGUAGGGGUCCUGAGAGGGACGACUCCCCCGACACUGGGUACUGACGACACGGACCAGUACUCCGUACGGG